This 491-nucleotide small RNA is filed under the name Pan troglodytes (chimpanzee). RNAcentral describes it as "processed transcript". The record is from RNAcentral. Lineage: Eukaryota; Metazoa; Chordata; Mammalia; Primates; Hominidae.
UGCUAUAAUAUGAUGCAGUGCAUUGCUGCUGGGCAUCAGAUCGUUGCUUUAGCAAAUCUAAGACCAGCUGAAAACCAAGUGGGGUCUGAUGAACUGGAUAGCUACAUGUAUCAGACAGUGGGGCACCAUGCCAUUGACUUGUAUGCAGAAGCAAUGGCUCUUCCCCUCUAUCGCCGAACCAUAAGAGGAAGGAGCUUGGAUACAAGACAAGUGUACACCAAAUGUGAAGGUGAUGAGGUUGAAGAUCUCUAUGAGCUUUUGAAACUUGUUAAGGAAAAAGAAGAAGUAGAGGGGAUAUCAGUAGGUGCUAUACUUUCUGACUAUCAGCGUAUUCGAGUGGAAAAUGUGCUUAGAUCCUGAUAAGCAUCUUGGGAAAACCCUGGAUCAAGUGGAGCCUUAUCUCAUAGAGCUUUCUAAGAAGUAUGGAGUACAUGUUUGUGGAGAAGGUGGAGAGUAUGAAACUUUCACUUUGGAUUGCCCUCUAUUUAAGA